GUAACAAGGUUUCCGUAGGUGAACCUGCGGAAGGAUCAUUAUCUAUAACCGGGUGUGGCUGCGGCCUCCGGGGGCGUGGGCGUCGAAACGAUGCCCUCUCUUCCGGGUGGUAGAGGUAAAACUCCCACGCGCCACAUGUCUGAAUCCUUUUUUUACGAGCACCUUUCGUUCUCCUUCGGUGGGGUGACCUGCCGUUGGAACCCAUCAAAACUCUUUUUUGCAUCUAGCAUUACCUGUUCUGAUACAAACAAUCGUUACAACUUUCAACAAUGGAUCUCUUGGCUCUGGCAUCGAUGAAGAACGCAGCGAAAUGCGAUAAGUAGUGUGAAUUGCAGAAUUCAGUGAAUCAUCGAAUCUUUGAACGCACAUUGCGCCCCUUGGUAUUCCAUGGGGCAUGCCUGUUCGAGCGUCAUCUACACCCUCAAGCUCUGCUUGGUGUUGGGCGUCUGUCCCGCCUACGUGCGCGGACUCGCCCCAAAUUCAUUGGCAGCGGUCCUUGCCUCCUCUCGCGCAGCACAUUGCGCUUCUCGAGGUGCGCGGCCCGCGUCCACGAAGCAACAUUACCGUCUUUGACCUCGGAUCAGGUAGGGAUACCCGCUGAACUUAAGCAUAUCAAUAA
Molecule: unclassified non-coding RNA, 619 nt
Filed under: Paraconiothyrium sp. 1 NV-2015
Lineage: Eukaryota; Fungi; Ascomycota; Dothideomycetes; Pleosporales; Didymosphaeriaceae
Description: sequence contains ITS1, 5.8S rRNA gene and ITS2
Rfam family: 5.8S ribosomal RNA (bases 259-412)
Source: RNAcentral